This 427-nucleotide ribosomal RNA is filed under the name uncultured eukaryote. Its description in RNAcentral is "SSU rRNA". It matches the Rfam family "Eukaryotic small subunit ribosomal RNA", at positions 592 to 1018 of the family's 1831-position model. The record is from RNAcentral.
CAAUAGCGUAUAUUAAAGUUGUUGCAGUUAAAAGCUCGUAGUUGGAUUUCUGGUGGGAGCGAUGGGUCCGCCUUUCAUUAGGUGCGCACUCGGUUCGCGUCCGGCCUUUUUCGCGGCGAACGUGCCUGGCAUUAGGUUGUCGGGUUCGGGAGCCGCGUCAUUUACUGUGAAAAAUCAGGACGUUUCAAGUAGGCUUACGCCGUUGAAUGUACUAGCAUGGAAUAAUAAGAUAGGACUUUGGUGGUCUAUUUUGUUGGUUUGCACACCAAGGUAAUGAUUAAUAGGGAUAGUUGGGGGUAUUCGUAUUCAAUUGUCAGAGGUGAAAUUCUUGGAUUUAUGGAAGACGAACUACUGCGAAAGCAUUUACCAAGGAUGUUUUCAUUAAUCAAGAACGAAAGUUAGGGGAUCGAAGACGAUUAGAUACCAU